Eriocheir sinensis (Chinese mitten crab) is the source of this 4618-nucleotide RNA transcript. It is a transcript of the gene named E3 ubiquitin-protein ligase RBBP6-like, with no coding region annotated. The transcript is spliced from 7 exons. NCBI's taxonomy places the organism in Eukaryota, Metazoa, Arthropoda, Malacostraca, Decapoda, Varunidae. The record is from RefSeq and is a predicted model, not a curated record.
GAUUGAGCAAGUCGAUAGAUUCUGCCCUGCAUGGAGACCUAUCCGGAAGAACUCCCGGUUUGGAGUUGUCAACCAGAUCAAGUUCAAGCUCAGCUGCCGGGGAAAAACAAGCGGCCUCGGCAGCCUCAAUAACCAACAGACAGAGGAUGAUAAUACGCCAAAAGAAGAAGAAGGACUAGAAGAAAAACUGGAGGGGCUGACUGGACUCCUCAACGGCCCUAAAACACUCCAGAAGAAGAAGAAGUGCAGUCCCUAUGUCAACCAGAUCAAGUUCAAGCUCAGCUGCCGAGGAACAACAACAACAAGCAGGCUCGGCAGCGUCACUAACCAACAGGCAGAGGAUGACAACACGCCAAAAGAAGAAGGACUGGCGGGGCUGACUGGACUCCUCAACGGCCCUAAAACACUCCAGAAUAAGAAGAAAACAGAACGACAAAUCGACAACGUCCUCAAUCAUUUGACACCAUCAUCACAAGAACAAUGGUGACUCAGGACGCAGCCAUCCUCCCAAAGGUGAAUAAGAUGAAGGUGAAGAAGAUGAAAAAGAAAGCAAAGAAGAAGAAAAUGAAGGGAGCUGAUAACUUUGACUCUGAAAGUGAAGCAGAUAAACUGGAUUUGGAGCAGAAGAUGUAUCCCUUGUCACACUACAUCUCUGACCAGGAGGAACUUGUCAACCAGAUGUUCCUGACACUGAGUGGGUCCAAGCUGGAGGCCAUGCUGCCACCCGUGCUGAAGAGCACUCCACUGACAGAACUGAAGAGGCUUUGUAUCCAUGAGUUGCGGGGAAUGAGCAAGAAGAGAAUCCUGUGUUGCAUCAGUGGUGAGGUGAUGGAGGGAUCGUCUGGCAGUGAGGACGAGGAGGACGACAAGGGAGAGGCUGCUGCCGAGGACUCAACACAGAAUGAUGCAAACACCAAAGGAGAAAAGAGGCUGGGUGAUGAUCAGACCCCUGAAUCUUACCUCCUGAAGAAGAUCAAGGUGGAGCCUGGGUUGGAGGACAGCACAGGCAGCGGGGAAGGCAAGAGUGUGUUGGAGCUCCUGGAACUUGAGAUGCGGGCGCGGAUCAUCAAGACCAUGCUGGAGAAGGGCGACGAGGGGAAGAAGAUAACGGAGGACGCCAUCGCUGCCGUGAUGCAGAGUGCCAAGCAGAUAACCAAGGAAGGUGAUGCAGCAGCAGGAGGUGGCAGCAAGGAGGCGACAAAUCCAGUUGAGUCCAAGGAUGAUUCACAAAGGAGUUCAGGGAGAGAAGCCGUGAGUGAGGAGGAGUUGGUGGAGGAGAGAAGCAGAGGAAGGAGGAGGACUUACGGCAGGGAAGGAGACCGCAGGAGGCGCCACCGCCCACCAGGGGACAGCAAAAGAACUUCAAGCAGGUCCCGGAAGAGAGGGAGCGGCAGCUACAGUGAGGAGGACAGCCACGGACGCAGCUCCAAGAAGCCAAAGGAACCCAGCAGCUCCGAGAAACAUGCGGCCAAGAAGAAGAAAAUCACACGGAAGGAGUUUGAGGAGAGGAUGAAACGCGCCAAGAAGAACCGCACGUACCGCCAACGCAAGUCCUCGGAGGAUGAGGAGAAAACAAACGAGAAUGAGGACAAACCUGACGACGAAAAACCCAAGGAGGACAGCGAGGAAAAUACGGAUAACAAAACAGAUUCCAAGACCCAGGAUGGCAAAGACGGCGCCUCUGAUGGAAACCUCACGCAAGACGGGGCGGAGCGAGAAGCCUCAGAGAAGGAAGAAGGCGAAAUUGACAGCAACGAGGAGGAGGAGGGAGCGUGCAGCCCAACCGACAUGUCCAGUGGCAGUCACUACUCAUCCUCGUCCACCUACAGUCGAAGUCGAUCCAGAAGCUACAGUAGAAGCCUCAGCAGAAGCCCCAAGCGAGGUCGGCAGAGAAGAACCAGCAGGAGAAGUAGGAGCAGGAGUAGGAAGAGAAGGAGGAGCUACUCGCGAAGCUACAGCAGGUCAAGGAGUCCCGAGAAGAGGAAGGGGAGAGGCGAGCACCAGAAGAGGAGUUACGGGAGGAAGAGGAGUCAGGAGCCACGCAAGAGCAGCAGCGGCAAGAGGGAGGUGAAGAAGGCGUCCCCGGCGGAGGAUCUCAGCCCCAGCCGGGAGGAGGACUGGGGCCAUAAGUGCGAUAUAGAGUUUGUUGAUUCUGAGGAGGACUUCGACGACAACCCUGAGGCCACAAAGAAGGAUGCACCUGCUAAGAAAACGGUGCCGGUGAAUCGGAUCGAGCGUGCCAGUAUAAGUUUUUCCCUGCAGAAGAAGCCGGUCGGUAUCGCGCAGGGCAUAGACUUGGAUGACCUGCCGUUGAAGAAGAAGCAAGUGGCUGAUAAUAUUGAGGCUGUUGCUCCUGCUGCUCCAGUCAAGAAGCCCCCAACCAGUGAGGAAAUAGUCAUCAGCUCGGACAGUGAAGCGGAGGUGAAGGGCUCCACCAAGGGCGACACAGGGCAGAAACAGAAGAGUAAGGAACAAGCUGAAAAACCUCCUGUAACCAACAUCACCUCCUCAAGAUUAGACGGAGCAAAAACAACAGAUAUAAACCCACAAACUGAUCAGGGAAAGCUCACCAAGAAGACCAUUGACCCCGAGACCAAGCCUGAACCGGCGACUAAAGAAACACAGGAAGAUUGUAUGGAAGACUCACUCAAGCUUGCCACCAAUACCACCUGUGAAAUACCUGCCAAUAAAGGUGUGGAAAAUACAGAUAAGGCGAUUUCCAAAGAGGAGAGUCAUGCCGGAGAUUCAAAGGAGAGUAGAAAGAGUAUGGAUGACUCGGAAAGUUCACCUGAGGACACUGAAGAUGCCCCUAAAGAUGAUGAAAGGGAACACAGGGAUAUCUCUCCUGACGGUAAACUCAAGGAUAAGUCAGAAUCAUUAAGGACAGACCCUCUCAGUGAUGGCUCAGUAGAUUCAAAGGGCAAAAGUAGUGAUGGUUUGAGUGAGGAGAGAGAACAAGAUACAGUAGAGGAUGCAAUGGAUACCCACAUCUCAGGGGGUGAUGCUGUGAAGUCCGACGAGGUGAACUUAAAUGAGACAGAGGUGACGGAAAUCUCAUUCAAGAAAUCCCGGAAAAGAAAAGCAGAUAAAGUUGUAAAUUUGAAACCCACAACUGCCCUUCAUUCACUGGAGGAGGAAGAGCAAACAGAAGCCUUGACAUCAUCUUCCACUGACACAAGAAGCCAAAAAUGUGGAGAUAAGGGAGUGGAACCUAAAGAUGAAGACAUGGCAUUAGAUUCUGAGAGGGAGGAGAUAGUGGAAAAAAGUGACAGCUCAGAAACCAGUGCCCAGAAGGAGGAGGAGGAGGAGGAGGAGGAGGAGGAAGCAGAUAAAGACAUCACCGCAGUACAUGAAGAUCAGAGUGAGGACGUUUCCAAGGCAACAAAGAAACUCAAGGAGAGUGAGGAUGAAAAGGAGGUCGAGGAGAGGGUCUUCAGGGAGCUGCGUCGGAGGAGGAGAGCACCAGUUGACCCCAUCAGGAUAGAGACAGGACUGAUCCGGAGGCGUGUACAGCCCUCCAGGAAGAUAGAAAUGAUCGUCCCUGAGAAAUCGUGGAUGAAGAGGGAGAAGAAGAAGAAAGACAAAACGAAGGAUGUCCUAGCAAUGGAAGGGGUUGGACUAUGGAAGAGCACACUGUCAGAAGCAUCACAGAGCUCCCCAAAGGAUGCUGACCAGGGAAUGGAAACUACCCACGGCAUUGAACCAGUGGAAAUGUCAGAGGAUAUAGAACAGCCAGGCAAGUCACUCAGUAGUCCGACACCAGCAGGCGACACUGAGAAUUCCCAGCUGUUGCAGAGGCCAUUGUCCCCCUCACCCAAGCCAGACACAUCACCCGAAACAUCACAAUCGGAGGACAAAACGAUGCGGAAAAUCGACCAGGACACGGAGAUCAUCGGAGUCAUCGAAACCAGCAAAGACGCAAGCGAUAACUUCGAUGACAUGGACCUGGGCGGCGCCAGCUGGAGCAUGCGGUGGCUGCAGAGCGAGAAGGUGCAGAAGGUUGUGACGAGUAGCAAGAUGUUGAGCCGAGUGCGCAAGAAGAUCCAGAAGAAGGAGAAGGCCACUAAGGGGGUCAUGGCAGAGAAGGUGGAGGAGGCACAGAGGCCGUCCGAGGGUGCCGUCCCCGUCAUAGGCAGCAUCGAGGAGUACGAACGCCUCUUUGGCACCAGGGUUAAGAAGGACGAGGCUGCCGGUGCUCAGGAAUAUUCAGGGCAGGGACAAACACCAGGGAUCUCCGCGCAGACUCAAGUCGAUAUUCCAGAGGUGAAGGACAAGGGUAACCCGGUGUUUGGCUCAGAUGAUGACGGGGAGGACAGCGAGGAGGAAGCCCUGUGGUCGAAAAUUAUUAAAAAGUAGUGGAUAACAAACACUAUAGGACUUUACUGUUUUGGCAUUGGUGGUAUUGGGAGCCUCUGCCCAAAUUAAGGUAACAUUUAUGAGGCAAAAGAUAAGGGUAACCCCAUCUUUGGCUCAGACGAUGAUGAGGAAGACUGGUUGGAAACGAUUAAAAAGUAGUGGAUAACAAACACUAUAGGACUUUACUGUUUUUUUUAACCCAAUGCCUAGUCUAAUUAUAUGGAUGAAUGCUAUUUAUAUGUGAAUAAAUUAUUGAAAUCAC